RNAcentral lists this long non-coding RNA (395 nucleotides) under Elaeis guineensis (African oil palm). RNAcentral describes it as "long non-coding RNA (EGUI_LNC064211)". Lineage: Eukaryota; Viridiplantae; Streptophyta; Magnoliopsida; Arecales; Arecaceae. The record is from RNAcentral.
UCUCCCUCCCUCUCUUCCUCUCUUAUGGUUGUUGCUUCCCCUAGGGCCGCCACAGUUGUCGUCGCUCCACCUCUGCCACCAUUGUUGUUGCUCUGCCUCCACCUUCGCCACCGUUCCUCUUUGACCUCCGUCGGGCCACGAUCUCUCGGGUAUGGCUCUCUCUCUCUCAUAGUCGACCUGUAGGUUGCCUCCAUCGCUGCACCACUGUCGCCAUCACUGCGUCGCCGUCGCUCUGCCUCCGCCUCCACCAAAGUCUGUCGGGCCGUGAUCUCUUAGGUAUGGCUCUCUCUCUCUCAGUCCACCUGUAGGUCGCCGUCACUGCACAGCCACUGGCGUCCGCUUCCAUCUCGGUACCCAUCUCUCUCUCUCUAUGUGGGAUUUACGUGAGAGUUGGA